Molecule: ribosomal RNA, 401 nt
Filed under: uncultured bacterium
Lineage: Bacteria
Description: bacterial SSU rRNA
Rfam family: Bacterial small subunit ribosomal RNA
Source: RNAcentral
AAGGAAUUUUCCACAAUGGACGAAAGUCUGAUGGAGCAAUGCCGCGUGCAGGAUGACGCAUUUCGGUGUGUAAACUGCUUUUAACAAGGAAGAUUAUGACGGUACUUGUUGAAUAAGGAUCGGCUAACUACGUGCCAGCAGCCGCGGUAAUACGUAGGAUCCAAGCGUUAUCCGGAAUUACUGGGCGUAAAGCGUCUGUAGGCGGUUUGUUAAGUGGGGUGUGAAAUCUUGUCGCUCAACGACAUAGACUAUAUUUCAUACUGGCAAACUAGAGUUUGGUAGAGGCAAGCGGAAUUACUAGUGUAGCGGUGAUAUGCGUAGAUACUAGUAAGAACAUCAAUGGCGAAGGCAGCUUGCUGGGCCAUAACUGACGCUCAGAGACGAAAGCGUGGGGAGCAAAC